RNAcentral lists this long non-coding RNA (338 nucleotides) under Brassica napus (rape). RNAcentral's name for it is "long non-coding RNA (BNAP_LNC012361)". Lineage: Eukaryota; Viridiplantae; Streptophyta; Magnoliopsida; Brassicales; Brassicaceae. The record is from RNAcentral.
AUACAUUUUUUUUGGUUUUGCGUGACUUUUAGUUUUGGCGAGAAAAUAUGUUUUUGGAGUUAUGGUCGAAAAUGUGAGUUUUUGGUUUUAGCAUUUGCAGUUUCAGCGGAAAAUGUGGUUUUGUAUGUUUUGAAAAAUAUAUCAUAAUUAUUUUUGUCAAAAACUUAUUCCAGAUAUUUUAUUUACAUAAGGGUAAAACUGUCUUUUGUAAUAUUGGUUGAGUUCAUCUCCAUCCAUAUACACCAAUUAGUGUUAUCUAGAAAGUUAUCUAAAUGAGUUUCGUUUUAGGCAAAAAAUUUAAAUUCAUGAAAUAGAUCGUUUGAAAAUUCUCAUUUUAA